This 82-nucleotide transfer RNA is filed under the name Bacteroidota bacterium. RNAcentral describes it as "Bacteroidetes bacterium (activated sludge metagenome) tRNA-Leu". The record is from RNAcentral. Lineage: Bacteria; Pseudomonadati; Bacteroidota.
GCCCACGGCGGAACUGGUAGACGCGCUACGUUCAGGUCGUAGUGUCUCUCUACCGACAUGGGGUUCGAGUCCCUCCGUGGCA